AGACGGGUUCAUGGAUUUGUAUUGGAGACAUAAAUAGACAGCAUACACAGUUUCAUCGUGGUGGAAGUACCAUGUGCAUGUCUGACCCCCACACAUGGAAGGAAUACACAAACAUCAUCCGGGACAUCGAGACGUGUGGACCAAUAUUCGGAUAAGUCCCAAACCCGACACUUAAAACUGGAAACUCUUAUUUCUGUAUAAAAAGUUUAUCUUCUGUAUAAAUAGUUUAUCCCUCUAUGUGUAUAUGUCAUUAUUAUUAUCAAGAAAUGGAAGUUGUUUUCAUUCUGUGUUUAUGACAUCACAUUGAAAAAAAAAUUUAUUCAUGGAAUCUCAAAGUGGUAAACCAAAGGCUUGGAUUUGAAGACGUUGAUAAAUUAUAACUCAAAACCCUAUAUUUUUUCAGAGUACUUGAAAACAUCUGGCAUUACCUUACAUUG
Saccostrea cuccullata (small rock oyster) is the source of this 437-nucleotide long non-coding RNA. RefSeq lists it as uncharacterized. The record is from RefSeq and is a predicted model, not a curated record. The transcript is spliced from 2 exons. NCBI's taxonomy places the organism in Eukaryota, Metazoa, Mollusca, Bivalvia, Ostreida, Ostreidae.